GGGGGUGACAGGAAUCGACAUGUUCUUCUAGCGGAGGGGCAGCAUGCAGAGGUUGUCGGGAGGCCUCUUAAAACACCUGGCACAACGUAAAAUGUCGACUACAAUCCAGUAGCAGACGCCGAAGCGAUCCUUGCUUCGGAUACACUAGCUUCCAAUUUCAUGGAAGCGGGUUUAUUAGAGUGCGCCCUAGUGCGCUAAUAGACUUACCAGAAAUAGGGAUGAUCGGGGAAGGCUCCUUCCGGGCCCCGGUCUAAGCGCGUAGAAGGAUGCUCGAGGGUGCGACCCGCGCGACGGCCGCCCCGAGAAAAGACCAAAGCCGCGAUAAGCAUGUAGAUACUCCUUUGUUAAGGCUCAUGGACCCGGGUUCGAAUCCCGGCACCUCCACCA
Molecule: transfer-messenger RNA, 387 nt
Filed under: Candidatus Omnitrophota
Lineage: Bacteria; Pseudomonadati
Also listed under: 1 other name
Description: JADGBR01 sp015231405 Standard tmRNA
Rfam family: transfer-messenger RNA
About the family: Bacterial tmRNA, also known as 10Sa RNA or SsrA, is named for its dual tRNA and mRNA-like properties.
Source: RNAcentral